UACAGAGGUCUCAAGCGUUGUUCGGAUUCAUUGGGCGUAAAGGGCUCGUAGGCGGCCAACUAAGUCACACGUGAAAUCCCCAGGCUUAACCUGGGAACUGCGUGUGAUACUGGAUGGCUUGAAUUCGGGAGAGGGAUGCAGAAUUCCAGGUGUAGCGGUGAAAUGCGUAGAUAUGUGGAGGAACACCGAUGGCGAAGGCAGCCCCCUGGGUCAAGACUGACGCUCAUGCACGAAAGCGUGGGGAGCAAACAGG
This 253-nucleotide ribosomal RNA is filed under the name uncultured bacterium. RNAcentral's name for it is "partial 16S ribosomal RNA". It matches the Rfam family "Bacterial small subunit ribosomal RNA", at positions 524 to 776 of the family's 1533-position model. The record is from RNAcentral.